Brassica oleracea var. oleracea is the source of this 670-nucleotide long non-coding RNA. RefSeq lists it as uncharacterized. Lineage: Eukaryota; Viridiplantae; Streptophyta; Magnoliopsida; Brassicales; Brassicaceae. The record is from RefSeq and is a predicted model, not a curated record. The transcript has 3 exons.
GGCAUGUGGUGUCCCUUGUUUCACAGGCUACUGGAGUUCGUUCAAUUGCUUUUCAUCCAGAUGGACAAACCCUUUUCUGUGGAUUGGAUGAUGGCUUGAAGGUUUUUUAUUGUCUUUGAGAUAAACUAGACAGCUUAGAUGUUGAUAUCACAAGUUCAUGGUCAUAAAUGCCAGGUAUAUUCAUGGGAACCAAUGAUAUGCCGGGAUAGUGUUUGGGUUUGGGUCUCAGAUAUAUCGAAACUUGAGCCAUUGGAGCUCGAUCUGAGGAUGGGAAUGAAUGCAUAGUGAAAAGAUUGAGUGUCUUGGAUGACCAGUCGUCUUAGAGAAUGGGGAGUACCUCAAUGGGGCAGUUCAUCCCCAGAUUAUGAGACAAAAGAGAUAAAGAACAUAUACGUUGACUCUAUAGGUGGAAAUUUGAAAGGGGCUAUUAGAGCGAGAAGCAGAAUGCAACAACAUGUUUUGGACAAGCAGAGGACAAGUCUUCCAGAACGCAUAGUGUUGGAUCGCUGGAUAGUGAGUGGGGAAGAAUAUGUUUGAACUAAAAGACAUAUAUCUGGAAGAGCAACGAGACUGUAGCUACCUAAUCAACUACUAGGAGAUGCUCCCAAUACUCCACAGAGAAUCUCUGGUCACAUUUUCCAAAUGCACAUGCUACCAUUUUUUUCUUCUU